Molecule: long non-coding RNA, 778 nt
Filed under: Lathyrus oleraceus (garden pea)
Lineage: Eukaryota; Viridiplantae; Streptophyta; Magnoliopsida; Fabales; Fabaceae
Description: Pisum sativum (pea) long non-coding RNA (PSAT_LNC002701)
Source: RNAcentral
GAAAUGAAACUGUUAGUUGGAACUCCAAAUUUAACUCAAUUUUAAAUGUAAAUUCAAAUGCACUAUACACGAAACUCUUCUUUCUCAUGCUUUGUGAAAUAACUCUGCUAAAAAAACUAGAAGUUAGUUAUUCAAAUUGAAUUUUUGUUAGUGAAACUAAACCAAUUGGAAGUCGUUGAGGGCGACGUUUGAAAUUUGAUUUUUUUUAGAUGGUGAAAUUCGAUUCAGUUAGUUGGCUCUGAUUCCUGGUUAUGUACAUUUAACAGUGUAAAUGAUAGGUUAAUUUCUGUCAACUAGUUAAUAUUCAUGAAACUUAGUUAGGUUGCAAGAUGUUAUGGGAGCUGAACAAAUUCAUUAUUAAAGGUUUCUUUUAGCUUAAUUUGAUUCGAUUUUGUAUUGGGAUGGUUAGCAUAGUUUGAAAUUCUGUAGAAAAAUUGGUGGACUUGUUAACUUGCUAGGAUAUGUACAUGUUUGAGUUAGUAUGGAAACCAAUCACAUAUGCUAUAAUGCAAAAUGAUGCUAUGAAUGGCAUGAGAUUAGAAUUGUGAUGGUUAGGACAUGAUUGGUUUGUUGUUGAAUUGAAUUCAUUUUUUAUGUGUUAUGCUUGGAAGAACUUGAAAUGAAUUGGAUUUUAGUUCUUGUUUUGUGUGAAACAAAAACCUGUGGCCUUUUGAUUGCUUUUGUAGGGAUUUAUGAACAAAAAUGGAUGAAUUAACAUGGAAGCAUAUUGACAUUAAGAUGAUGGAUCAAAGAUGAACAAUAUAUCAUGAAGAAUGAA